Long non-coding RNA from Chelonia mydas (Green sea turtle), 2368 nucleotides. RefSeq lists it as uncharacterized. The record is from RefSeq and is a predicted model, not a curated record. Lineage: Eukaryota; Metazoa; Chordata; Testudines; Cheloniidae. The transcript has 4 exons.
CCCCUCCCCAGUGUGUAACAGCGCCACCUGCAGGCUUCCGGCAGAACGAACAGAAGGCGCAGCUCAUGCGCCCUGGGCACUGAAUUCCCCCGGGGAAGGUAAAAAAAAAAAAAAAGUGCUUGAGUCGCGUGGGCUGCAGGGGGCGCGAGCAGGCAGCGAGUCUCGACGGGCAAGGCCGGCGUUAGCCCGCCGGUGCCGUCAGCACGCUGCAGCGAAGGGGCCGGCUUCAUGCAAAUAGAGAGAACCUUUCAGGCGGAGAAACGAGUGACGAGGCGGCCGCGAACAAGCUGGAGGAACGGAGCAGUUUUGAAGCUGAAUUUUCAGGCCGGAGGCGGUUGGCUUUGGUUGGUGAGAAUGGAGCGGAGAGCUCAUUAUGCAGUGUUUGUGACAUGCUUUACAGCUGUGAAGUGCUCAGCCUUACUCUUCUGUGAAAGGUUUCAGAGGGGCAGCCCUGUGAGUCUGUAUCAGCAAAAACAACGAGGAGUCAACGAGAAACUGCAGCGCUGGAAUUAAUUUGCAAACCUGACACCAUCAAAUUAGGCCUGAAUAGAGACUGGGAGCGACUGGCUCACUACAACAAGUAAUUUCCCCUCUGUUGAUAGUCACACCUGCUUGUCAACUGUUGGGAAUUGGCCUCGUGAGCCCUGACCCGCCCCCCAACUUGAGUCAGUGGGGGACAAGGAGCUCCUUGGCACCAAGGAUUCAAGAUCUACAACAAAGACUAAAGGCAGGAAAGAGGUAGACGAGCAAAGUUACGGGGUUGGAGUCUUUAUUAUUAUUAAUAUUAAUAGCACAGUAGCACCUGGGAAGCCAGCUGAGGUUACAGAUCCAUUGUGUCAGGCCCAGCACAGACGUAGCUUGAGAAGCAGCCUUUGCUCCACAGACCUCAGUCUGUUCCCCCCGCUCCUUUGAGAGGGGCAGGGGGCCAUAAAACUAGAGAUCAGACUUCUCCAGAAAAUUAGAAAAAUUAGGUGAGUAACACCUUCUGCACUGGUAGGGGGGGCAAAUGCUGUGGUGAUCCUAUUGUAUAGUUAUGCAGGGCACCGGCACCCACCAGUCACUGAUCUUUUACCUAAGAACAAAAUAGUUCAGUUGUCCCCUAAACAGAACAAACCCUCCGAAACCCAAACGUGUGGGUCCCGCUCCCACUUAGGUUCAGAGAACAACUCGAAGAGCCUUUACUGAGCUUUGCGUGCAGUUGAGCGGCUUUCAGACAUUCCUUGCUACCCGCUAAUAAUAUCUGAGAAGCGAAACCAGUCAGUCCUCUGGCUUCUCUGCAGCUGAAUAGCCACAGAGGGCUCUCAGGUCCCUUUCCUCCAAGCUGCCUCUUUGACUUUACACAGAAACAAUAAAAAGGGGUUGCCUGCAAUUCCACUAUCCCCGUCUCCAACUGUGGCCAGUACCAGCUGUUUGACAGAAAGGUGGGAGAAGCCCCAGAAUGGGCAGCGGUGGAACCAGCUGCCCACAGAUACACUCAAAGGCCUUGAUCCUGCAAGGUGCCAAGAGCCCUGACAUUCUCCAAAACCCACUGGUGCCACCCCACCCGCUCCCCUUUGGACAAGCAAGUACACGCAGAGGACAGUGUUUGCCGAUGCUUGGAACCCUACAGACAUAGGAACCCCUCGAGACAUAGAGGAAACCCACGGAUCACCACACCUAUCUUCACAGAUCCAGAAAUCACCCCAAACACACCAAGCAAUCUGUUGUCUACUGGCGGGCACUCAGAUCCCACAGAAUACGCUCUGAGGGACAGGCGCCUUAACACGCUCAAAACCGCCUUCGCCAAAGGGGGACACCCCACCAGAGAAGUACAUCGCAUCGUGGAAUGGGCCACCCAGAUACACCAAGGAAACGUGCUUCAAUACAGAAAUAAAACCCCCACCGACCGCACACCCCUAGUGGUCACCUACCACACCCUACGCUGCAACCCAUAGGGGGUAUCAAACAACUAAAACCCAACAAAUCUUUCCUGAAGCCCCACUUCUGGCCUUCAGAACAACCCCUAAUCUCUCCAAGCUCAUCAUCAGAAGCGAGCUCCCCACAGACCAGGACACACCAACUCACAGCAGCACCAGACGCAAAACCUGCAGACACAUCUCCACUGCUACAACGACCAACACACUCCACAACACGCCUUUCGAGAUCCACGGGUCCUACACGUGCCAAUCACAACAUGUGGUUUACCUCAUCCAGUGCACCAAAUGCCCCAACAACAACUAUGGGGGUGAAACCAGAGAAUCACUAUGCUCACAGACGAACAGGAAAACGAUAAGACAAGACCACCGCGUCAUCUGUGGGUGAGCACUUCUCACAGAGCAAUCACUCUUGUCUGUGAUCCAUCAGCCCUCAUCCUCAAAGGAAACCUGCA